UACGUAGGGGGCAAGCGUUGUCCGGAUUUACUGGGCGUAAAGAGCGUGUAGGCGGCCAAGCAGGUCAGUUGUGAAAACUGGAGGCUUAACCUCCAGACGUCGACGGAAACCGCGUGGCUAGAGUCCGGAAGAGGAGAGUGGAAUUCCUGGUGUAGCGGUGAAAUGCGCAGAUAUCAGGAAGAACACCAAUGGCGAAGGCAGCUCUCUGGGACGGUACUGACGCUGAGACGCGAAAGCGUGGGGAGCGAACAGG
Molecule: ribosomal RNA, 253 nt
Filed under: uncultured bacterium
Lineage: Bacteria
Description: partial 16S ribosomal RNA
Rfam family: Bacterial small subunit ribosomal RNA
Source: RNAcentral